RNAcentral lists this unclassified non-coding RNA (507 nucleotides) under uncultured Entrophospora. RNAcentral describes it as "SSU rRNA". It matches the Rfam family "Eukaryotic small subunit ribosomal RNA", at positions 591 to 1092 of the family's 1831-position model. The record is from RNAcentral. Lineage: Eukaryota; Fungi; Glomeromycota; Glomeromycetes; Entrophosporales; Entrophosporaceae.
CCAAUAGCGUAUAUUAAAGUUGUUGCAGUUAAAAAGCUCGUAGUUGAAUUUCGGGAUUGACGUGAUGGUCAUGCCUUAAGGGGUAUGAACUGUCGCUGUUGAUUUCUCACCUUCUGGAGAAACUUGAUGUCCUUUAUUGGGUGUCUUGCGGAUCCAGGACCUUUACCUUGAAAAAAUUAGAGUGUUUAAAGCAGGCAUGUUUGGUCGAAUACAUUAGCAUGGAAUAAUAGAAUAGGACGGCAUGGUUCUAUUUUGUUGGUUUCUAGGAUCACCGUAAUGAUUAAUAGGGAUAGUUGGGGGCAUUAGUAUUCAAUUGUCAGAGGUGAAAUUCUUGGAUUUAUUGAAGACUAACUACUGCGAAAGCAUUUGCCAAGGAUGUUUUCAUUAAUCAAGAACGAAAGUUAGGGGAUCGAAGACGAUCAGAUACCGUCGUAGUCUUAACCAUAAACUAUGCCGACUAGGAAUCAGACGAUGUUAAUUUUUUAAUGACUCGUUUGGCACCUUACG